UGGGGAAUAUUGGGCAAUGGGCGCAAGCCUGACCCAGCCAUGCCGCGUGAGUGAUGAAGGCCUUCGGGUCGUAAAGCUCUGUGGGGAGGGACGAACAGUCCAGGGGCUAAUACCCUCUGGAUUUGACGGUACUUCCUUAGCAAGCACCGGCUAACUCCGUGCCAGCAGCCGCGGUAAUACGGAGGGUGCAAACGUUGCUCGGAAUCAUUGGGCGUAAAGCGCACGUAGGCGGUCUUUUAAGUCGGAUGUGAAAGCCCCAGGCUCAACCUGGGAAGUGCAUACGAAACUGGAAGGCUGGAGUACGGAAGAGGGUCUCGGAAUUCCCGGUGUAGAGGUGAAAUUCGUAGAUAUCGGGAGGAACACCAGUGGCGAAGGCGGAGACCUGGGCCGAUACUGACGCUGAGGUGCGAAAGCGUGGGGAGCAAACAGGAUUAGAUACCCCCGUAGUCC
Molecule: ribosomal RNA, 450 nt
Filed under: uncultured bacterium
Lineage: Bacteria
Description: bacterial SSU rRNA
Rfam family: Bacterial small subunit ribosomal RNA
Source: RNAcentral